Molecule: ribosomal RNA, 373 nt
Filed under: uncultured organism
Description: bacterial SSU rRNA
Rfam family: Bacterial small subunit ribosomal RNA
Source: RNAcentral
CGGGGGGAGCAAGCGUUGUUCGGAUUUACUGGGCGUAAAGGGCGCGUAGGCGGCGCAACAAGUCACUUGUGAAAUCUCCGGGCUUAACCCGGAGCGGUCAAGUGAUACUGUCGUGCUAGAGUGCGGAAGGGGCAACUGGAAUUCUCGGUGUAGCGGUGAAAUGCGUAGAUAUCGAGAGGGACACCUGCGGCGAAGGCGGGUUGCUGGGCCGACACUGACGCUGAGGCGCGAAGGCCAGGGGAGCGAACGGGAUUAGAUACCCCGGUAGUCCUGGCCUUAAACGAUGGAUGCUUGGUGUCCGGGGUUAUAAAGUCCCCGGGUGCCGUCGCUAACGCUUUAAGCAUCCCGCCUGGGGAGUACGCACGCAAGUGUG